UACAGAGGGUGCAAGCGUUGUUCGGAAUUAUUGGGCGUAAAGAGCUCGUAGGCGGCUUGUCGCGUCGUUCGUGAAAACCCGGGGCUCAACUCCGGGCUUGCGGGCGAUACGGGCAGGCUAGAGUUCGGUAGGGGAGACUGGAAUUCCUGGUGUAGCGGUGAAAUGCGCAGAUAUCAGGAGGAACACCGGUGGCGAAGGCGGGUCUCUGGGCCGAUACUGACGCUGAGGAGCGAAAGCGUGGGGAGCGAACAGG
This 253-nucleotide ribosomal RNA is filed under the name uncultured bacterium. RNAcentral describes it as "partial 16S ribosomal RNA". It matches the Rfam family "Bacterial small subunit ribosomal RNA", at positions 524 to 776 of the family's 1533-position model. The record is from RNAcentral.